AUGACCACUGCUGCCUGUAGGACCACCACCCGUAGGAUGACUACGGCCACCUGUAGGACCACCCCCCGUAGGAUGACCACCGCUGCCUGGAGGACCACCACCCGUAGGAUGACCACCACCUGUAGGGUGACCAUGGCUGCCUGUAGGACCACCACCCGUAGGAGGACCACCACCCGUAGGAGGACCACCACCCGUAGGAGGACCACCACCCGUAGGAGGACCACCGCCGCCUGUAGGACCACCCCCCGUAGGAUGACCACCACCCGUAGGGUGAUCACUGCCGCCUGUAGGACCACCACCCGUAGGAUGACUACAGCCACCUGUAGGACCACCCCCUGUAGGAUGACCACCCCCCGUAGGAUGACCACCGCUGCCUGGAGGACCACCACCCAUAGGAUGACCACCACCCGUAGGGUGACCAUGGCUGCCUGUAGGACCACCCCCCGUAGGAUGACCACCCCCCGUAGGAUGACCACCGCCGCCUGUAGGACCACCACCCACAGGAUGACCACCACCCACAGGAUGACCACCACCCACAGGAUGACCACCACCCACAGGAUGACCACCACCCACAGGAUGACCACCGCCACCUGUAGGACCACCACCCAUAGGAGGACCACCACCCAUAGGAGGACCACCACCCAUAGGAGGACCACCACCCAUAGGAGGACCACCACCCAUAGGAGGACCACCGCCACCCAUAGGGUGACCGCCGCCGCCUGUACAGGAACAGGAACUUACCGAACACCCCCGGCUCCUCCAGCUGUUCCAGGACCCUCAACAGCGCGAGGCAGCUCUCCUCACCCCGCGCCAACACCAGCGCCCGCAGCCGCCGGACCCAGUCGCGCCCCCCCGGGGGUCCCAGCGCCGCCUCCUCCGUGGGUCCCAGAGCCCCGAGCCCCCGCAGCCCCUCCAGCAGCUCCCACCCGGGCGCCCGCAACAGCCGCUCCUCCAACAGGCGGCCCUGCGCCUGGACCAGCGCCCACGCCGACGUCAUGGCUGCCUGCAGGGGAGAGGAGCGGGGUCAGCCCUAUAGGAGACGCCGGGGAGACCCCACAGGCGAGGAUCAGCCCUAUAUGA
This 1080-nucleotide long non-coding RNA is filed under the name Numida meleagris (helmeted guineafowl). RNAcentral describes it as "lncRNA (ENSNMEG00000000358.1)". Lineage: Eukaryota; Metazoa; Chordata; Aves; Galliformes; Numididae. The record is from RNAcentral.